Molecule: long non-coding RNA, 1499 nt
Filed under: Homo sapiens (human)
Lineage: Eukaryota; Metazoa; Chordata; Mammalia; Primates; Hominidae
Description: Pvt1 oncogene
Rfam family: Pvt1 oncogene conserved region 4 (bases 587-755)
Source: RNAcentral
GAGCACAUGGGCCCGCGGGCCGGGCGGGCUCGGGGCGGCCGGGACGAGGAGGGGCGACGACGAGCUGCGAGCAAAGAUGUGCCCCGGGACCCCCGGCACCUUCCAGUGGAUUUCCUUGCGGAAAGGAUGUUGGCGGUCCCUGUGACCUGUGGAGACACGGCCAGAUCUGCCCUCCAGCCUGAUCUUUUGGCCAGAAGGAGAUUAAAAAGAUGCCCCUCAAGAUGGCUGUGCCUGUCAGCUGCAUGGAGCUUCGUUCAAGUAUUUUCUGAGCCUGAUGGAUUUACAGUGAUCUUCAGUGGUCUGGGGAAUAACGCUGGUGGAACCAUGCACUGGAAUGACACACGCCCGGCACAUUUCAGGAUACUAAAAGUGGUUUUAAGGGAGGCUGUGGCUGAAUGCCUCAUGGAUUCUUACAGCUUGGAUGUCCAUGGGGGACGAAGGACUGCAGCUGGCUGAGAGGGUUGAGAUCUCUGUUUACUUAGAUCUCUGCCAACUUCCUUUGGGUCUCCCUAUGGAAUGUAAGACCCCGACUCUUCCUGGUGAAGCAUCUGAUGCACGUUCCAUCCGGCGCUCAGCUGGGCUUGAGCUGACCAUACUCCCUGGAGCCUUCUCCCGAGGUGCGCGGGUGACCUUGGCACAUACAGCCAUCAUGAUGGUACUUUAAGUGGAGGCUGAAUCAUCUCCCCUUUGAGCUGCUUGGCACGUGGCUCCCUUGGUGUUCCCCUUUUACUGCCAGGACACUGAGAUUUGGAGAGAAUCCUGUUACACCUGGGAUUUAGGCACUUUCAAUCUGAAAAAAUACAUAUCCUUUCAGCACUCUGGACGGACUUGAGAACUGUCCUUACGUGACCUAAAGCUGGAGUAUUUUGAGAUUGGAGAAUUAAGAUCUUGGACAUGAUACCUGGAUGUGCAGCAGCCAUCUGGUAAUUAUGAGGUGACAAGUCAAUAGACUGAGAUGGUGGAGCAGCAAAGAUAGAAAAGGUCUGGAUUUUUUAUAGCAUUGUUGAACUGUUCCAUCAGCCUAAGACAGUUGACUAUCUCCAGACUUCUUGUUAUGUACAACAUGUCCUGUUGUUUAAGUCACUCUAACUUGGAUUGUUUCUUAUUUUCAGCUGAAAUUAUUUCUAAUAGAUAUACAGAUUUCCAACAAAGCACAGUGUAGAGCAGCUUAACAUGGUACCUAUGUGCCAAAGUUCCAGAGCAAGAGUUCCUGGGUUCUAAUCUUGGCUCUGUGGCGUGACUUUAGACAAGUCACUUAGCUUCUCUGUGACUCGCUUUUCUCAUGUAUAAAAUGCUCAGUAACUGUGUAUUGACUGUUGAAUAAAGGAUAAUAGUGAUACUGAAUUCAUAUGAUUGUUAGGAUCAUCGAAUGGCUAAACAUUUUAUAAAAUGAUUAGAACAUCGCUUGGCGCAUUGUAAUUGGCUGCAGAUGUGCUUGUCAAAGUAAAAUUAAAAGAAAAGUAGUCACUAUUAUAGGCCUGGGUUUGCAUCUUGAUCCC